This 140-nucleotide ribosomal RNA is filed under the name uncultured Actinomycetales bacterium. RNAcentral describes it as "partial 16S ribosomal RNA". It matches the Rfam family "Bacterial small subunit ribosomal RNA", at positions 355 to 507 of the family's 1533-position model. Lineage: Bacteria; Bacillati; Actinomycetota; Actinomycetes; Actinomycetales. The record is from RNAcentral.
UGGGGAAUAUUGGGCAAUGGAGGAAACUCUGACCCAGCGACGCCGCGUGAGGGAUGAAGGCCUUCGGGUUGUAAACCUCUUUCAGUAGGGAAGAAGCGAAAGUGACGGUACCUACAGAAGAAGCACCGGCUAACUACGUG